GGGAUUGACUUGCAAAUGUCGAUUUUUGCUUAAUGAUAAACGAAGAAUUUCCGCAAACCACGGCAAUCCUCUUUCAAUUACCAUAUGCCCGAAUAAUAAUGUUUUGGAUUUCCUGUAUGGCCAAACUGCCUUGUGAAAGUUCGGCAUCCGGGCUUAAGUAGUCGAACCAUUCCAUUAUAUUUUUCAGCUCUUAGUUCAUAUAAUUUUAGUUCCGGAAUCAAAUUGAUGUGGCGCUGAUCUGAAAUUGAGAAUAUCAAAAUUAUCAACACUACAACGAAGAUGAACAACAGUGACCACAUUCUCAAGAGAAGUUCAUAAUUUGAGAAAACAAAACAAUAGAGAAUACAAUAUUCGACUUCCCCGACUAUUGGAUACCCGUUACUCAGCUAGUGGAAAUGUGAUCGCGAAAUUUUAUAAUUUUUCUAUGGAAUCGAUAGAUAUUGGUAAAUAAAAUAAGAAAAAAUGUA
RNAcentral lists this long non-coding RNA (467 nucleotides) under Drosophila melanogaster (fruit fly). RNAcentral describes it as "antisense RNA:CR45182 (Dmel_CR45182)". Lineage: Eukaryota; Metazoa; Arthropoda; Insecta; Diptera; Drosophilidae. The record is from RNAcentral.